GCUACUACCGAUUGAAUGGUUUAGUGAGACCCUCGGACUGGAGUCUGUCCGCCGCUUUCGGGUGAUGGAUGGGGACGGAAAGACGGUCGAACUUGAUCAUUUAGAGGAAGUAAAAGUCGUAACAAGGUUUCCGUAGGUG
This 139-nucleotide ribosomal RNA is filed under the name Pseudorimula midatlantica. RNAcentral describes it as "partial small subunit ribosomal RNA". It matches the Rfam family "Eukaryotic small subunit ribosomal RNA", at positions 1678 to 1811 of the family's 1831-position model. Lineage: Eukaryota; Metazoa; Mollusca; Gastropoda; Lepetellida; Lepetodrilidae. The record is from RNAcentral.